GGGGGAAUAGCUUAGUUGGUUAGAGUAUUGGCCUGUCACGCCAAAGGUCGCGGGUUCAAGUCCCGUUUUCCCCG
RNAcentral lists this transfer RNA (74 nucleotides) under Tetraselmis marina. Its description in RNAcentral is "tRNA-Asp". It matches the Rfam family "tRNA". Rfam says of the family: Transfer RNA (tRNA) molecules are approximately 80 nucleotides in length. Their secondary structure includes four short double-helical elements and three loops (D, anti-codon, and T loops). The record is from RNAcentral. Lineage: Eukaryota; Viridiplantae; Chlorophyta; Chlorodendrophyceae; Chlorodendrales; Chlorodendraceae.